This 776-nucleotide small RNA is filed under the name Pongo abelii (Sumatran orangutan). RNAcentral describes it as "retained intron". The record is from RNAcentral. Lineage: Eukaryota; Metazoa; Chordata; Mammalia; Primates; Hominidae.
CCCACCUCUGACGUUUUUCCCUUGUAGUUCUGUGAUAUGAGCAACAAUGGACCAGAAGAUUUUAUCUCUAGCAGCAGAAAAAACAGCAGACAAACUGCAAGAAUUUCUUCAAACCCUGAGAGAAGGUGAUUUGACUAAUCUCCUUCAGAAUCAAGCAGUGAAAGGAAAAGUUGCUGGAGCACUCCUGAGAGCCAUCUUCAAAGGUAAUAAUAAUUAAUGUCACUUCUGUCUGUCUCCUGCAUUCAUUGGUAGAUUUGUUUAGUUUUGGUACUUUUCUUACUGUUUGAAGCCCCACUGGAACAUUUUCCAUGUUUUGAGGAUUCUACAGAUCAACUGCAGCAGCAGUUUCCUGUCUAGUGGACUUAAGUAAUUUUACUGAAGGGAGUUUGAAGUGGCUACCUGAGAUUGUGUUGCUUAUUUGGGGGCCUGGAAUUACAGAAUGUGCUUUUCGUAAAAUCUGCUUUGGUUUACUUGUGCUUUUAAGAUUGUGGAGAAGAGAACAGCAGUGUUUAAUACAUAAUCCAUGCUUAACAAGGGGUGAGUAACCUCUGGGGUUUAAUGCAAUGGGGUAUCUUAAGGUGCCUUAUACAGAGAUUCUUCAUGCCCGGUGAGACAUACUUGUUUUCCUGUCUUGAACAAGGGCUAGUUUAAGUUGUUGCAGAUUGUGAUUUAUAGUGGUUUUAUAAAUUCUGGUAGGAUAAAAUUUUAUAAGGCAAAAAUUAAAAGUGUCUUUGGACUCUUAAUUAGGUAUGUUAACUUGGUUUAUUUUUCUUCCC